UACGUAGGGGGCAAGCGUUGUCCGGAAUCAUUGGGCGUAAAGAGCGUGUAGGCGGUCCGGUAAGUCGGCUGUGAAAGUCCAGGGCUCAACCCUGGGAUGCCGGUCGAUACUGCCGGACUAGAGUUCGGAAGAGGCGAGUGGAAUUCCCGGUGUAGCGGUGAAAUGCGCAGAUAUCAGGAGGAACACCAAUAGCGAAGGCAGCUCGCUGGGACGUUACUGACACUGAGGCGCGAAAGCGUGGGGAGCGAACAGG
RNAcentral lists this ribosomal RNA (253 nucleotides) under uncultured bacterium. RNAcentral's name for it is "partial 16S ribosomal RNA". It matches the Rfam family "Bacterial small subunit ribosomal RNA", at positions 524 to 776 of the family's 1533-position model. The record is from RNAcentral.